RNAcentral lists this ribosomal RNA (2927 nucleotides) under Citrobacter freundii. RNAcentral describes it as "bacterial LSU rRNA". It matches the Rfam family "Bacterial large subunit ribosomal RNA". The record is from RNAcentral. Lineage: Bacteria; Pseudomonadati; Pseudomonadota; Gammaproteobacteria; Enterobacterales; Enterobacteriaceae.
GGGUUGUGAGGUUAAGCGACUAAGCGUACACGGUGGAUGCCCUGGCAGUCAGAGGCGAUGAAGGACGUGCUAAUCUGCGAUAAGCGUCGGUAAGGUGAUAUGAACCGUUAUAACCGGCGAUUUCCGAAUGGGGAAACCCAGUGUGAUUCGUCACACUAUCAUUACGUGAAUACAUAGCGUAAUGAAGCGAACCGGGGGAACUGAAACAUCUAAGUACCCCGAGGAAAAGAAAUCAACCGAGAUUCCCCCAGUAGCGGCGAGCGAACGGGGAGCAGCCCAGAGUCUGAAUCAGCUUGUGUGUUAGUGGAACGGUCUGGAAAGUCCGACGGUACAGGGUGAUAGUCCCGUACACCAAAAUGCACAGGUUGUGAACUCGAAGAGUAGGGCGGGACACGUGGUAUCCUGUCUGAAUAUGGGGGGACCAUCCUCCAAGGCUAAAUACUCCUGACUGACCGAUAGUGAACCAGUACCGUGAGGGAAAGGCGAAAAGAACCCCGGCGAGGGGAGUGAAAAGAACCUGAAACCGUGUACGUACAAGCAGUGGGAGCCUCUUUAUGGGGUGACUGCGUACCUUUUGUAUAAUGGGUCAGCGACUUAUAUUCUGUAGCAAGGUUAACCGUAUAGGGGAGCCGAAGGGAAACCGAGUCUUAACUGGGCGUUAAGUUGCAGGGUAUAGACCCGAAACCCGGUGAUCUAGCCAUGGGCAGGUUGAAGGUUGGGUAACACUAACUGGAGGACCGAACCGACUAAUGUUGAAAAAUUAGCGGAUGACUUGUGGCUGGGGGUGAAAGGCCAAUCAAACCGGGAGAUAGCUGGUUCUCCCCGAAAGCUAUUUAGGUAGCGCCUCGUGAACUCAUCUUCGGGGGUAGAGCACUGUUUCGGCUAGGGGGUCAUCCCGACUUACCAACCCGAUGCAAACUGCGAAUACCGAAGAAUGUUAUCACGGGAGACACACGGCGGGUGCUAACGUCCGUCGUGAAGAGGGAAACAACCCAGACCGCCAGCUAAGGUCCCAAAGUCAUGGUUAAGUGGGAAACGAUGUGGGAAGGCACAGACAGCCAGGAUGUUGGCUUAGAAGCAGCCAUCAUUUAAAGAAAGCGUAAUAGCUCACUGGUCGAGUCGGCCUGCGCGGAAGAUGUAACGGGGCUAAACCAUGCACCGAAGCUGCGGCAGCGACACUAUGUGUUGUUGGGUAGGGGAGCGUUCUGUAAGCCGUUGAAGGUGUAUCGUGAGGUAUGCUGGAGGUAUCAGAAGUGCGAAUGCUGACAUAAGUAACGAUAAUGCGGGUGAAAAACCCGCACGCCGGAAGACCAAGGGUUCCUGUCCAACGUUAAUCGGGGCAGGGUGAGUCGACCCCUAAGGCGAGGCCGAAAGGCGUAGUCGAUGGGAAACAGGUUAAUAUUCCUGUACUUGGUGUUACUGCGAAGGGGGGACGGAGAAGGCUAUGUUAGCCGGGCGACGGUUGUCCCGGUUUAAGCAUGUAGGCGGAGGUUCCAGGUAAAUCCGGUACCUUUUUAACGCUGAGGUGUGAUGACGAGGCACUACGGUGCUGAAGUAACAAAUGCCCUGCUUCCAGGAAAAGCCUCUAAGCAUCAGGUAACACGAAAUCGUACCCCAAACCGACACAGGUGGUCAGGUAGAGAAUACCAAGGCGCUUGAGAGAACUCGGGUGAAGGAACUAGGCAAAAUGGUGCCGUAACUUCGGGAGAAGGCACGCUGAUAUGUAGGUGAAGUGAUUUACUCAUGGAGCUGAAAUCAGUCGAAGAUACCAGCUGGCUGCAACUGUUUAUUAAAAACACAGCACUGUGCAAACACGAAAGUGGACGUAUACGGUGUGACGCCUGCCCGGUGCCGGAAGGUUAAUUGAUGGGGUUAUCCGUAAGGAGAAGCUCUUGAUCGAAGCCCCGGUAAACGGCGGCCGUAACUAUAACGGUCCUAAGGUAGCGAAAUUCCUUGUCGGGUAAGUUCCGACCUGCACGAAUGGCGUAAUGAUGGCCAGGCUGUCUCCACCCGAGACUCAGUGAAAUUGAACUCGCUGUGAAGAUGCAGUGUACCCGCGGCAAGACGGAAAGACCCCGUGAACCUUUACUAUAGCUUGACACUGAACACUGGUCCUUGAUGUGUAGGAUAGGUGGGAGGCUUUGAAGUGUGGACGCCAGUCUGCAUGGAGCCAUCCUUGAAAUACCACCCUUUAAUGGCUGGUGUUCUAACGUGGACCCGUUACCCGGGUUGCGGACAGUGUCUGGUGGGUAGUUUGACUGGGGCGGUCUCCUCCUAAAGAGUAACGGAGGAGCACGAAGGUUAGCUAAUCCUGGUCGGACAUCAGGAGGUUAGUGCAAAGGCAUAAGCUAGCUUGACUGCGAGAGUGACGGCUCGAGCAGGUGCGAAAGCAGGUCUUAGUGAUCCGGUGGUUCUGAAUGGAAGGGCCAUCGCUCAACGGAUAAAAGGUACUCCGGGGAUAACAGGCUGAUACCGCCCAAGAGUUCAUAUCGACGGCGGUGUUUGGCACCUCGAUGUCGGCUCAUCACAUCCUGGGGCUGAAGUAGGUCCCAAGGGUAUGGCUGUUCGCCAUUUAAAGUGGUACGCGAGCUGGGUUUAGAACGUCGUGAGACAGUUCGGUCCCUAUCUGCCGUGGGCGCUGGAGAAUUGAGGGGGGCUGCUCCUAGUACGAGAGGACCGGAGUGGACGCAUCACUGGUGUUCGGGUUGUCAUGCCAAUGGCAUUGCCCGGUAGCUAAAUGCGGAAGAGAUAAGUGCUGAAAGCAUCUAAGCACGAAACUUGCCCCGAGAUGAGUUCUCCCUGAGACUUUAAGUCUCCUGAAGGAACGUUGAAGACGACGACGUUGAUAGGUCGGGUGUGUAAGUGUAGCGAUACAUUGAGCUAACCGAUACUAAUGAACCGUGAGGCUUAACCUUACAACGCCGAAG